UGUAAGCGUAUACCAAAGUUGUUGCAGUUAAAACGCUCGUAGUCGGAAUUUGGCAGUUCCGGAUGUGUGCACGUCGUGUGCGCACUUCGCGGGGAUUGCUUUUGUGGUCUUGCGUAGGAUGAGGCACUUUUAUUAGUGAACGUCCUCACGCAACCACUUUUUACUGUGAGAAAAUCAGAGUGCUCAAAGCAGGCAUUUGCCGUGAAUGUAUUAGCAUGGAAUAAUAGAAUAGGACUUGGUUCUAUUUUGUUGGUUUGUUGGGACUGAGUAAUGAUUAAGAGGUACAGUUGGGGGCAUUUGUAUUUCGGUGCUAGAGGUGAAAUUCUUAGAUUACCGAAAGACAAACUGCUGCGAAAGCGUCUGCCAAGGAUGUUUUCAUUGA
Molecule: ribosomal RNA, 382 nt
Filed under: uncultured eukaryote
Lineage: Eukaryota
Description: partial 18S ribosomal RNA
Rfam family: Eukaryotic small subunit ribosomal RNA
Source: RNAcentral